GGAUCUGGAAUGAAAAAAAAAAUCUUUUGAAAAGGUAUUUGUAUAGCUUCACUUCAGCAAGAUUCAUGGUGGGUAUUAGACUAAGUGCUGGUGUUAAGCCAAACCAUGUUUUUCAAAGACUCAUCUGGCCUCAAGUUUGGCAGGAUCAGAGUGGCCUCCCAGGAUCUAUCCCAUCCUCAGAAGAGUUGGUUCAACUGGCAUGUACCCAGAUCUCUUUGAGCUACGAUGAUACUCCCUUGAGUCAAAGGCUGCCACAUCACAUCUCCUUUAAGUCCCCCUAAGUACGACCCCAGAAGUAUUGACAAAAUAGUGCUAUUCCUGAAGAUUUCAGGAGGACAUAAAUGAAGAGACUAAACUGCAAGGUACCAAAACUUCCAUCUUUGCUAAAGACCCUCAUCCAGGCUGGGCACGGUGACUCACGCCUGUAAUCCCAGCAAUUUGGGAGGCCAAGGCGGGUGGAUCACCUGAGGUCGGGAGUUCAAGACCAGCCAGACCAACAUGGAGAAACCCCAUCUCUACCAAAAAUACACAAUUAGCCGGGCGUGGUGGCACAUGCCUGUAAUCCCAGCUACUAAGGAGGCUGAGGCAGGAGAAUCGCUUGAACCUGGGAGACGUAAGUUGCGGUGAGCUGAGAUCGUGCUAUUGCACUCCAGCCUGGGCAACAAGAGUAAAACUCCAUCUCAAAAACCAACAAACAAAAAGCUCUUAUCCAAUGGUCAUGCCACUCUAUCUGGCCAUGUAAUUUCUCCUCCUGGCUUUCUGUAGCAACAGCCUUCUGGGGAACCUCACUCUGUCUUUCAAAACCCCUUCACCUUGUACCCUUCAUCAGCAAAGUACUUAGCUCAACAUGUAUGCCUCUGGGGGUACUCAUCCACAUGCCAUUUCAGGAUAUUUCCAGCAACAUCAUCUUCACUACCCCAGGAUGGCAUUUUAGAGUGGAUUGCAUGCCUGCUGGAUGUGUUGUACUUGAACGAGUUAGAGAAAAUGCCACACUUUGAGACAAAUUAAUAGUCUGUUCAUUUAGCCGAUGGCUAAGAAAUGGCUAACGUUUUAAGUUCUCUCGGCCUCGAAGAAGGGGCUAGAUUUUCUUUUAUACUUUGGUUUAGAAAGGGGAGGGGGGUCUAGUUAAAACAAGUUUACAGAAGUAGGCAGAAAAGUUAAAAGGAUAAAUUGUUGCAGGAAAGUAAAGAAUUCUAGGUCUAGGGGCUUUAAGACUAUUAUGAGGUGAUAGAAGCGGGGCUUUGGGCGCUAUCAAUUGGACGAAUUCCUGGGUACUGCGGAUAUUGCUCGCCACAGUAUCUUAUCAGUUAAUUGCAUUCUUCGAUGUGCUGGGAGUCAGCUUGCACAAGUUAAGUCCUUGAGGAAGGGGCUGCCAGUGAAAGAGCCAAGAUGGAGUCUCUCUGGCUCUCUUAGCUAAGGGAGAGUCAAUUCAGUUGGAAACAAUGCUAGGUGAUUCAAAGAAAGGGAAAGUCUAAGAACAGGGUUAGUAAAAAUAAGGUUGGGCAUUACAUUCCUCACUUGUGUUUUUGGGGAACCAAAUCGUUGAUUUUUCAGUUAUAACAAGGGGGUUAUAUUGAGUCUUAAGAUACAUAAGUUCGACAGAAGCUAAGCGUUGUUUUACAAAAUUAAGAAACUAAUUUAAUAUACAAGGUCCAAAAAUUAAACUUAAUAGUAAGGACGGGGAGGGGGUCUGUCUAACUUAGUAAUUAGAAUAGUUAGCUCUGGGUUCUAGUUGAACAUGUUUUAAUACUGGGGGAUGUUAUUUUCUUGUUCUUGUUGGCGCUUAUCUAGAUUUUCUUGCACUUUCUGGAGUGUAUCUUUUAUGACUAAGAAUGGUGGAGGAACAGUUAAAUCAACUUUCUCAGGGUGUUUCUGGAACAUAGGGUUACUUAGAUCAGUUAAAGGCCUGAUUGGCUUGGGUGGGCUUUAUGAGACUAGGGUUUUUUUUUGGAUGGUGAACAUAGACUUAACAUUAAAUCCUGGGAUAUAAAAUCUUAAUCUUCAUGACAUGCCAUGAUACUAUUGAGUUAAAUUAAGGUCAUGGACAGUUAUAGUAAGAGGAUUACAAUUUUUUCUAGUAUAUAAUUUAGGAUGAGAAGCAUGACUUAUGGAAAGAGUUGAAGAUCUGGUUGAUCUUUUAGAGUAGGUGGCUAAAGUUACACAUGUCUAAUCAGGGCAGAAAAACUGAUAAGUAUUUUGACAGCUAGCAUCAGGGUGAUUUCUAGGACAGAGGUAAAAGUCAAUAUUUUGGAGUCUUUUUUCUGCACUUUUGGAGCUUCUACACUUAGUUUGGCUCUUGGAGUGUCUGAAUCUUGCUGAAAGGUCGACACUUCCUGCUCCUGGAACUGGCAGAUUGUGUUGCUUUUCGUGGGUAUGGGCUGGCUUUGGGAACAGUACAAAUAAGUCAACUGCAAAAGAGACUUGGAGGUACUGGCCUUCUAAGUGGUGUUUGCAAAUACACUUCCUGUUGUGAAAGAGGUGAGGAGAAAGGAGUAGGAAGGCACAGAGGAUGUAACGGGCAAAAACAAAUAAGUGGGGUAGAUAAAAAGAAUGAAUCUAAUGGCUUCACCUAACUUAGGUGCAGUUUUAAGGGGACUGACUUAGGCCUGGAGACUUAUGUUUUUAGCUGGGCUCUUUUGGCCUUUUUGAUGCGGGAGUGAUGAAUGUAAGCAGGAAUGCCAUCUACUUUCAGAGCAGUUGGCGUCGUGAGGAUGACGGUGUGAGGUCUUUUCUAAGCAGGAGUGAGUCUUUCUUUUUGGAACUUUUUAACAAACACUAGGUCUUCUGGCUGGAACGAAUGGCAGGACUUUGGUCAGGAAUUGGAUUGGGAUGGGCUCCUGGAACAAGUGGCAGGAGAAUAUCUUGUACCUGUUGGAGAGACUAUAGGUACUGUAAUCAAUUAGUUUGUGAUAUUUCUGCUAAUUUGGCAUCUGUUAGCUUAGGCAAGAUAGGCGGUGCCUUAUUAUACAUGAUUUCAAAAGGUGAGAAAUUAGCCUGGUAAGGGGUGCACCUUACUUUAAGUAGGGCUAAAGGAAGGAGACUUACUUAAUUUACACUGUUUUUUUAAGAUUAAUUUUGUAGGAAUGUUUUUUAGGGUGUGGUUCAUGCGUUCUACUUGCCUGGAGCUCUGGGGUUGAUAGGCACAGUGAAGCUUCUAUUGAAUGUUUAACGCCUUACUGACUGACUGAGCUAUAGGCGAGGUGAAGGCUGCUCUAUUAUCAGACUUUAUGGCAGCAGGCAGCCUAUAUUGAGGGAUGAUUUCAUUGAGUAAAAACUUAACUACUAUGUUGGUGGUUUCAUUUUCGGUAGCAAAUGCCUUAGUCUAUCUGGAGAAGGUGUCUACUAGUACUAGAAGGUAUUUGUACUUAGCCUGGUGUGGUUUGACUUCUGUAAAGUCAAUUUCUUACUUUUUUCUUGGCGACUUUUUUCAGAGACAGUGGCCUGGACUGGGUUUAGGACUUUGUUUGGCAUUUACGUGGGCGCAGGUUGUGCACUGGAGAGCUGCUUAAUCUGUUAGGCUUUGAAGACGGGGGAUCUUAAAAUGGCUCUGGAGGAGCUGAGGUAGCUUUGCUCUUCUUAAAUGGGUGGUAGACUGUACCUAACUGAUUAAAGUUUCUUUAAGAGUUCAGGGUAUGAAGAUUCUAGAGUCAGGAAGAAUCUACUAACUUUCCUGAUUUUUAUUGGCUCUCAGAUCCGAAGCCCGUUGUUGUUGUUGUUGUUGUUGUUGAGUAUACGGGAUGGUCAGGCAGAUCUGGCUGUGGAAAGGAGACUGUUGGCAGAAAGUUUAGAGGCGUGACUGAAAGUCUCGCUGCGACCUGAGCUGCUGAAUCAGCUUUCUGAUUACUAUGGGCAACGGCCGUGUUUUCUUUUUGAUGUCCUUUGCGGUGGAUCACAGCUACCUGCUGAGGUGAGUAGCCUGCUUUCCUGGUAGAUGGCUUUAUGUACAUGCACAGUAGCAAAGGCGUACUUGCUGUCAGUGUAAAUGUUAAUACAUUUAUUCUUACUUUAUCGGAGAGCCUGAGUGAGGGCGAUCAACUCAGCCUUUUGUGCUGAGGUGUUCGCUGGUAAACCUUGAGCUUACAACACAUGUGUCUCCGUGGUAACAGCUGCACUGGCUCUUCAUAUUUCCUGCUUGAGGAAGCUGCUACUGUCUGUGAACAUGGCAGCAUCUGCCUUUUCUAGGGGCACAGCUUGAAGAUAAGAUAGGCCAGUUUCGAUAGUUUCUAACAGUUCUUGACAGUCAUGAGCAGGAAUAGUGGAGUCUGAGUGAGGAAGUAGAGUAGCUGGAUUGAAACACUUUGUGGGAGAGAAAGUCAAACGAGGCUGAUCUAACAGUAAACUUCGAUACUGCAAGAUGCGAGCAUUUGACAUCUAUUUGCCAGAAGCAUUUUGUAGUAAGGUCUUUACGGCGUGAGGAGCUGUAAGGGUUAAAUUUUGGCUUAGAGUUAACAUCAUCUUCUUGGGCCAGGCUUGCUGUAGCCGCUACGGCUCACAGACAACUUGGUCAUCUAGAGGCCACAGGAUCUAGCCUCUUAGACAAAUAGGCCACUGGGCGGCUUUAGGGUCUUAGAGUCUGAGUAAGCACGUCUUUAGCAACUCCUUGGCUUUUAUGGAGAUAUUAGGGAGGGCUAAAGCAGGGGCUUCAGUUAAUGCUAAAUUAAGGGGCUAUUUCAUUCUGUACUUCUUGGAUAGCUGCCACUACAAUUUUUGUCUUUUGAAUGCUUUACAGCGGCCUUUUCAGCUGCCUGUGUUGCUUGUUUUUGUUUUUUAAGCUUUUGAUUAUCAAAAACUUUUUGGACUAUUUCUAAAAGCUGACUGAUAUUUAUUCUAGAAAAUCUUUUUAGUUUUUGGAGUUUCUUUUUAAUAUCCUAGGCUGCCUGAGCCACAAAUGCUAAAUUAAGAGCAAGGCUAUUUUCGGGAGCUGCCGGGUCAAAAGGGGUGUAAAUCCGAUAAGCCUCCUGGAGGCGCUCUAAAAACGUUCUUGGUGACUUAUCGGGCCUUUGGACAACUUCGGUCGUCUUAGACAAGUUUAUGGGUUUCUGAGAGGCUCUUUUAAUACUUGACAGGAGAUACCGGUGAAAAUCGUCUAAAGCUCUCUUUCUACUUGAGGAAUGUGAGUCCUGGUUAGGCUGGGUGGAGGGAAAGACCUCCUCAAGGAGGUCUCUAGCUUCUUCUUCCGGUCCAUUGGCUGAUGUGAGGAAGUACUUUUUGGCUUCUUUUUGGAUACGUUCCUUCUUUUCAGAGGUGAAAAGGGUUAAAAGCAGCUGUUGGCAAUCAUCUUAGGUGGGCGGGUGGGUCCGGAGUACAGACUCUGUCAGAGAGGUCAAAGCCUGGGGCUUUUCAGAGAAGGGAGGAUUAUGGGUUUUCUAAUUAUAUAAGUCAGAAUUAGAAAAAGGGACACAAACUAAGAAGGGUGCUGAGCGCUCGUCACUUGGAGGGACUUGUGCCUCUCUCAGUGGUAGUAGAGGGGCUACUUCUUCCUACCACGGUCAUGAUUGAGAGGCAAUGGGUGGCGAGACUACAGGGGACGUCGUCGAGGAGACAUGGGAUAACUUUAAGGGAGAAGGCUGGUUGUAAGGAGGUGGGACUGGGUGAGGGAGACUCCCCUCUUCUUCAGAGGGAGGCAGUACAGGGGAAGCUGAACCGGCUGAGGGUCGAGGCGAAAACGCGGUCUGGCUUAGGAGGACCUUGGAGGUAGAAUUAUGAAUGGUGCAUGAAUGGAGCCAUGGAGAGUGGAUUCUGACUAAAAGUAGCUAACGUAGGGAAACUGAUCAGGGUGGCUAGGAGUUUCUGUAACAACCUGCCACACAGCUUGAACAAUUGUGAGGUUCAAUGACCCUUCAGGGGCCACUUGACUUUAAACUUUGGCCAUUUUAUUUUGCACAGUGUCUGGAGCUUGCCUUUUUUAAGGCGGACUUUAUAAUCCUCUGAACUGAGAGAAAAAUUCUGCAGCAUACAUUGGAGAGGGCUUUAACUUUACAAGGCUGGGAGGAAGUGUUUCUUAUUUUAUUUUAUUUUAUUUUUUGAAGGCAAUUUAAUAAGAUUUGAGCAUAGAUAUUAAACUUAGCAUGGACAGAGAAACUUAUUUCUUGGGGGACUGGCGUAGUGAAAGAACAGAAUCAAUAUGACUAGAAAGAGCAGAAAAACUUACAACAGCUAAUACUACUUGCUACAUUACUGUAGCUUUAAGAUUGAGGGAGGAGGACUAGAGCCAGCCUGAGAUCUUCUGGGUCAGUUUGAUCUAGGCAUUCUUCUUCUUCUUCUAGAUCUGCACUUUAAAUACUUUUGGUGUCUUUAUGACUUAAACGCAAAUAGCUUAAACUUAGCUUUUUCUUUUAAGGGUUUAAGGAGUAAGAGCAGAGCCAAGUCCUGGAGACGGUAAAUUUGCUGUCGCACCGUAAAACGAGAUGUGCGGGAUAGGGGGCAGGGACAAGGCGGAAAAGGACUACUCGGAUCAUUUUUAAGUAGGGACAGUAGCCACAGAGGAACAGAGUAAGAAUCUAAAUGAAGUAAAGCACUACGGGCGUACAUUUCUUUACACGGUGUUCUACUUAAGGGCACUGGAAAAGUUACAGAAUGACAAGAGAGGUGAGCAAGGAAAUCUGUAGGGUGGCUGUUUUGAACUCACUACUGGUUUAACUUAGAGGAGGUCUAAUCACUUGGACGUGGAGUAUGACGAUCUAAAUACUUACAACUUUCAUGGUGCUAGAAAUCUUAAUCAGGCAAAUGUUUUUCACACUUGUUCUUGUAACAACACUUGACUUGCUUCUGGCAGAAAAAAAAGGACUGUAGUGGCCAGCCUAAAAGGUUGAUGAGAAAUUUAACCUCCUGUGACAAAAAAUCAGCUCUAAGGACUUAGAAGAAGUUUUUACUUAGACGUCUUGGGCAAUAUCAACGUCUUGACAUGCAAAACUUUGACAACUACUAACAAGACAAUAGACACUGAACAGAACAAUCAAUAUAAAACAAACAAUUGACUUUAGGGCAUGUAAACAGUUAUGACAGUUUCUUCCUUUUUUUUUUUUUUUUUUUUUAGACAGACAAGGGGAGGGUUUCCUUUGAUGGGAUCAGUCAGAUGCCUGCCUGGCCGCUCCCCCUGAGGGGACUUGGGCUCCUCUUAGCAUUGGCAGGCAGGUAUAAACUUGCGGCUCAGAUCAAGCUAUGCCUGAUGCUGCCUUAAGCCUUAUGAGGUCGCCACGGAACCGCAGGUGAGGGCCCACUUGAACUCCGUAGCUUUCGCGGUGGAGCUACAAACUGCAGGACAAGCGCAAGCCCUUGUCCUCCCUCAUUCAUUCAUUAUUCACAAAGAGUUUAUAACAGUUUUUUUUUUCUUUCUUUCUUGGAGAUUCUUCAAGAAACUUGAAUAAGAGAAAGAUGAGAGAUAGAAAAAGAGAGACAGAGAGUGACCGGUCUGCCAGAAACCAGGACUCAGUCCUCCAGCAUCCUGGGAUGUGAACUGAGUCAAGGGAGGGCCCCUGUCAGGGCCACUUCCCUCCUAGAAAGAGACACAGAGGUGCCUAACAGAAAACCAGGGCUCUACCUUCUAGCGUCCUAGAGAAACAGGUAGAGUCAAAAGAGGGACACCCUCAUCAGGGCCGCUUCCCUCUUACUAGAACUGAAGUCAAAUCUGACCUACGUGACCUCAGGGUCAGAAGUCGAGGACUCAGAGGUGGAAUUUUUAUGGGCACCCACACGGUAGUCGAUAAGCUCUCCUCUGGAAGACGCUCACCUUUCGAGGACCUGAAAAUUCUUUUUUAGGUGGCACCCCCCUACAAGCCGGCCGUGAGCCCGGAGGGAGCCCGGGUCUCGCCUGAUGUCGUUUCUCGCUGGGGCCUCCAAGUGUUGUACUUGAAUGAGUUAGAGAAAAUGCCACACUUUCACAUGAAUUACGAGUCUGCUUAUUUAGCUGUGGGCCAAGAAAUGGCUAAGUCUUAAAGUUCUCUUGGCUCCGAAGAAGGGGCUAGAUUUUCUUUUAUACUUCAGUUUAGAAAGGGGAAACGGGUCUAGUUAAAAGAAUUUUACAGAAGUAAAGUAGGCAAAAAAGUUAAAAGGAUAAAUUGUUACAGGAGAGUAAACAGUUCUAGGUCUAAGGUCUUUAAGACUAUUACAAAGUGAUAGACGUGGGGCUUUAGGCAUUAUCAAUCGGACAAAUUCCUGGGAACUGCGGAUAUUGCUCGCCCCACAGUAUCUUAUCAGUUAAUUGCAUUCUUCGAUGUGCUAAGAGUCAGCUUGCACAAGUUAAGUCCUUGAGGAAGGGGCUGCCAGUGAAAAAGCCAAGAUAAAAGCUGUCCCCGGUGUUAGAGGUGGGGCCUGAUGGGAAGAGAUUGGAUCAUGGGGGUGGAUUUCUCAUGAAUGAUUUAGCAUCAUCCUUUUGGUCCUGUCCUUGCAAUAGUGAGUGAGUUCUUGCAAGAUCAGGUUGUUUACGAGUGUGUAGCACCUCCCUCCUUACUCUCUUGCUACCGCUUCACCUUCUGCCAUCAUUGUAAGUUUCCUGAGGCCUCCACAGAAGCUCAGCAGAUGUCAGUGUCAUGCUCCCUGUAUAGCCUACAAAACUGCGAGCCAAUUAAACCUCUUUUCUUUAUAUAUUGCCCAGUCUCAGGUAUUUCUUUAUAGCAUGAGAACAGCCAAAUCCAGCAGCCAUAGACAAUAUGUAGCAAAUGUGCAUGGCUGUGUUUCAAUAAAACUUUAUUGACAAACACAUGUGCAAGCAGGUUAGAUUUGGCCCAUGGGCCAUAGUGUCCCAGCAUCUACUCUGGAAUAUUCUGUUCAGCCUGGAUGGAUAUCUCUAGGUUUUUUUUUUUUUUUUUUUUUUUGAGACAAAGUCUCACUGUUGCCCAGGCUGGAGUGUAGUGGUGCAAUCUUUGCUCACCACAACCUGUGCCUCCUGGGUUCAAGCAAUUCUCCUGCCUCAGCCUCCCAAGUAGCUGGGAUUACAGGCACCUGCCACCACACCUGGCUAAUUUUUGUAUUUUUUAAUAGAAAUAGGGUUUCACCAUGUUGGCCAGGCUGGUCUCAAACUCCUGACAUCAGGUGAUCCACCCACCUCAGCCUCCCAAAAUGCUGGGAUUACAGGUGCCCGCUACCACACCUGGCUAAUUUUUGUAUUUUUAGUAGAGAUGUGGUUUCACUAUGUUGCCCUGGCUGGUCUCGAACUCCUGAUCUCAAGUGAUCCACCUGCCUCGCCCUCACAAAACGCUGAGAUUACACGUGUGAGCCACUGCAGCUGCCCUCUAGAUUUUUUUUUUUUUUUGACCAUUGCUUAUUUGGUUUGACUUUCAUUUUCUUCCCCAUUGUGGUAGUCAUUUUCUGAAUGCCUGUUAGUUUGUCCAUCUCUCUCCUCUGUAGUCCCUAGAGUCAGAUGAACUCCUCUGCAGGUGCAAUGGUGUAACACUCUCUAGUGCUGAAUUUUGAGCAGGAGAAAGAGAGCAAGAGUGACCACUACCUUUGGAAACACUGGCCUCCUGAGAAUUUGGUGUCUCCUCUGCAAAGGUUGCAUACCUGUUAACCCACAGGCCGGAGAGAGAGACAAGCCAGAAUCAUGAUCUGUUGAGCUUGAGUUUAAUAUUUGAUGCACAGAGAUCACUGAGUUUUUUGAUAAGAAUUAGAGGGGGAAGAAAUGGCCACAGAGAACAAUUUCUAUCUCCAGGUGAGGAUUCAGGAGAUAAUUCUGUGAACAGAACUUCCAGAGAACCGAGAUGGGGGAAAUCGCUGGUAUUAGAAGAGUGAAAAUGUCAGUAAGUAUGGCUACGACUGUGCUCUUAGAGGCAAAAGAAGAAAAUGAGACUGCCAGGCAUGAAUAAUGAGAAAUCUUUGAUGGAAUUAGCCAUGCAGAACAGAUACUAAAUGCAUCCUCAUUCUUCUCAUAGUCAAAAGUUUUUGCUUAAGCUGGAUGGGAAAAAGAGAAUCCCAUUUCACUAAGUAUAAAAGAGGGGAUUUUAGAGAAGGUCUCAGAAGAAAGAGAUGUGGGGGUUUGGUGAAACUCACCAGAGGCUGAACCCUCUCCAGCAUAACACAGGGAUUGGGAGGAGCGGGGCGGCAUUAGGCCAGGUGCAUAGCCCAGUGCUGCUCUCUCUGGACUUUCUGCUCUCUCUGGACUUGUUUGCUAGCGGAGCUUAUCGAUUUACAUAAUUUUCAGUGCCAUUUCUCAGCUAAUGAGUCCUGAACUUUUGUCUUGUGGCUAGACUUCUCUUUGAAACAGCAGUCUUAAACACACAACUUCUUUAUUGUUUUUUCCACUUGUCAACUCAUGAACACCUCAACCUUGUUACAUCCAAAGCCAAACUCAUGGCUUGGAGUGGUAGGUGAUGGCUGUAAUCCCAGUGCUAUGGGAGGCUGAGGUGGGAGGAUUACUUGAGGCCAGGAGUUUGAAGCCAGCCUGGAAAACACAGUGAGACUCCCUAUCUACAAAAAAAAAAAAAAAGCUAGGCAUGGUGAUAUGCAUCUGUAGGAUCUGUAGUCCUGCUACAUGGUAGGCUGAGGCAGGAGGAUCACUUGAGCCCAGGAGUUUGAGGCUCAAAGAGCUAUGAUUGCACCAAUGCACUCCAGCCUGGGUGACACAGCCAAAGACCCUGUCUUAAAAAAAAAACCCAAAGCCAAACUCUCUUUUUCCUCCUCCUUCUCCAUGGGCUCUGUCCAUGCCAUCUCUGUUCUGUAAAUGGCACCACCCCUGCUGAGCUGCUCAAGGUGGUCAUAACUCAUGUGUUGUGCUAACUCUGCUUUUGCCUUCUUCUCCAAGUCCUGUGAUUCUAAACUUUAUCCAACUUGUCCACUCUCUGUAGCUUCACUGUCAUUAUCUUUGCCUAGGACACUGCUAUCUCAGCUGGGCUACAGCAACCUCCUAACUGGUCUUAACUGGUAUUCUGCACCUGCUCUCCAUGCUCAGCAAUCCAUUUCCUACCUGGCAGCUUCAGUGAUCUUAAGGCGUCCAUUGAGUCUCAUCCCUGCCUUUCCUGCCCAUGGUACAUAGAAUAAAAUCGAGACCCCGAGUCUUCUGCCUGUUCCUGCCACCUCUCCAGCCCUCUCCUAUCUCCUGCCCUUAGCCUACUCUAUUUCAGCCACUAUGGCCUCCUUUUGUUUUCUUGGACUUUCAAACUUUUUUCCACAACAUGGCCUUUGCACUUGCUGCUUCAGCCUGGAAUGAUUUUCCUCUGCACCUCCCCAAAUUAGACCAUCCUUUAGGUGUCAGCUAAAAUGGUGCUUCCACAGGCAGCUCUUCCCUGACUCUGCUCUUCUCCACCUUAACCUCUUAUUGUUUCCUGUUGUGGGAAGUCAGGGACCCCAAAUGGAGAGGGACUGGCUGGAGCCAUGGCAGAGGAACAUAAAUGGUGAAGAUUUCAUGGACAUUUAUCAGUUCCCAAAUAAUACUUUUAUAAUUUCUUAUGCCUGUCUUUAAUCUCUUAAUUCUGUUAUAUUCAUAAGCUAAGGAUGUACAUCACCUCAGGACCACUGUGAUAACUGUGUUAGCUGUACAAAUUGAUUGUAAAACGUGUAUUUCAACAACAUGAAAUCAGUGCACCUUGAAAAAGAGAAUAACAGCAAUUUUUAGGGAACAAAGGAAGACAACCAUAAGGUCUGACUGCCUGCAGGGUUGGGCAAAAAGAGCCAUAUGUUUGUUCUUGCAGAGAGUCUAUAAAUGGAUGUGCAAGUAGGAGAGAUAUCGCUAAAUUCUUUUCCUAGCAAGGAAUAUUAAUAGUAAUACCCUGGGAAAGGUAUGCAUUCCUGGGGGAAGUUCUAUAAAUGGCCGCUCUGGGAAUGUCUGUCUUAUGCGGUUGAGAUAAGGACUGAGAUACGCCCUGGUCUCCUGCAGUACCCAAAGGCUUACUAGGGUGGAGAAAAACUCCGCCCUGAUAUAUCUGUGGUCAGCCUGGUGCCCUGCUCUUGAACCCUGUUUUCUGUUGUUUAAGAUGUUUAUCAAGACAAUACAUGCGUGAAUGAACAUAGACCCUUAUCAGUGGUUCUGCUUUUGCCCUUUGCUUUGUGAUCUUUGCUGGACCCUUAUCAGUAGUUCUGCUUUUGUGCUUUGUCCUGUUCCCUCAGAAGCACGUGAUCUUUGUUAGACCCUUAGUAGUAGUUCUGCUUUUUGCCCUUUGAAGCAUGUGACCUUUGUACCUACUCCCUGUUCUUACACCCCCUUCCCUUUUGAAGCCCUUAAUAAAAACUUGCUCAUCUGAGACUCAGGGGGGCAUCACGGUCCUACUGAUGUGUAAUGUCACCCACAGAAGCCCAGUUGUAAAAUUCCUCUCUUUGUAGUGUCUCUCUUUAUUUCUCAGCUGGCUGACACUUAUGGAAAAUAGAAAGAACCUACAUUGAAAUAUUGGUGGCAGGUUCCACCUAUACUUCUUUCAUGGAUUUACUUAUUUUUUGUUUGUCCCCCUCUGUAUCCUAGAAACUCCUGGAGGGCAGAGGCAUGCCUGCCAUCUUCAUCAUUGCAUUACCACCACCCAACACUAUCAGGGGGACCUGCCCUGAUCAUCAACUCGGUUCUUUUCUACUUUCCUAAGUGCUGAGUGGCUUGAGAAAUAAAAGGACAGAGUACAAAAGAGAGAAAUUUUAAAGCUGGGCAUCCGGGGGAGACAUCACACAUUGGUAGGAUCCAUGAUGCCCCACAAGCCACAAAAACCAGCAAGUUUUUAUUAGGGAGUUUCAAAAGGGGAGAGAGUAUAUGAAUAGGUGUGGGUGACAGACAUCAAGUACUUAACAGGGUAAUAGAAUAUCACAAGGCAAGUGGAGACAGGGUGAGAUCACAGGACCACAGGACGGAAGUGAAAUUAAAAUUGCUAAUAAAGUUUUGGCACCAUUGUCAUUGAUAACAUCUUAUCAGGAGACAGGGUUUUGAGAUCAACCCGUCUGACCAAAGUUUAUUCCAAAAUUUAUUAGGCGGGAAUUUUCUCUUCCUAAUAAGCCUGGGAGUGCUAUGGGAGACUGGAGUUUAUUUCACCUCUGCAAUCUCAACCAUAAGAGACAGGUACGCCCCGGGGGGCCAGUUCAGAGACCUACCCCUAGGUGCGCAUUCUCUUUCUCAGGGACGUUCCAUGCUGAGAAAAGGAAUUCAACGAUAUUUCUCCCAUUUGCUUUUGAAAGAAGGGAAAUAUGGUUCUGUUCUGCCUGGCUCACCGGCGGUCAGAGUUUAAGGUUAUCUCUCUAAUUCCCUGAACAAUUGCUGUUAUCCUGUUCUUUUUUCAGGGUGCCCACAUUUCAUAUUGCUCAAACACACAUGCUGUACAAUUUAUGUACUUAACGCAAUUAUUACAGGUCCUGAGAAGAUAUACAUCCUUCUCGACUGACAGGAUUAAGAGAUUAAUGACAGGCAUAGGAAAUCACAAGGGUAUUGAUUGGGGAAGUGAUAAGUGUCCAUGAAAUCUUCACAAUUUAUGUUUAGAGAUUGCAGUAAAGACAGACAUAAGAAAUUACAAAAGUAUUAAUUUGGGGAACUAAUAAAUGUCCAUAAAAUCUUCAUAAUCCACGUUCUUCUGUCAUGGCUUCAGCCGGUCCCUCCGUUUGGGGUCCUGACUUCCCGCAACAUCUCUCCCUUUCUUUUUAUAUAAAUGUGCCAUGGCGAUGAAGGCUUGUUCGUUCUCUCGAUUUUGACACAGGAUUACUUGACUGGUACGGCACACUAAAAGCAAGCCGAUUAAGCAGAGAAACAUAAUUCCAAAAUUUACUACAGUGGAGCCCCCAGUAGAUUUAAUCCAAGUUGUGGGGUUUAAUCCAUAAAGAUUUUCUGCCACCUGAUCUAACGCCUGAGCUCUAGGCACGAUGGAUAAGUGAGCUUGGGAGGCUUCAAAAAUUUGUUUUUUUAAUUUAGUAGUUUUCAAUGAUAAAUUAUCUUUUCUACCUAGAAGGUGUCCUUUGACCAUUUCCCAUGAAUGAUCAGUCUUGUUAUAGGAAUAGGGGUGAUGCAGAAAUCCAAAGUAUUCCAAUUGCACUGCAUUUGCAUGCGAUGUUCCAGACUCAUUACCUGAUCUCCAAGCCAAAUAACAGAAUGUCUUAAAUCAUUAAUUUGCUUUGCCAAUCUUUGAUCGAUGCCUUGUUGAGAAUUCCACAUUUGGGUGGAGUUGGCUUGCCAAUCAUUAACAAAAUGAGCCGUUUGAAUAGACUGGUGUAAUUCCAUUCCGGCAGUGGUGGCCAUUGCAGUGACUGUAAUUAGGCCCAUGAUAACAGCGAUUAAAGUGAAAACAAAUAUCUUAGAUCUUUUUAGAAUUCGUUGUACCACUUCAUUAAUUAAAUGUAUUGAGGGGGAGGAUUCCCAAGGUCUAGGUAAAGUUAUCGGAAUCCAGAUUCCUUCUCAAGCUCGAACCAACUUUACACUUUUCCUGGAGUCAAAAUGGGAGUUAAUACAAGUGUAUAGAUGACAAUUGACGCAUUGGACAGUUUGAUUAUUCAUCCAAAUUUUGAUAUUUCCUACCAAUAGCAUGUAAGGAGGCUCAACACAACUCUGUAUGGGAACAGUCAGGUAGGAGGUAAGUAAAGCAGAAUGUCUGGGUCUACGUUGAUACUGAGAGAGUGGGACGGUAGUGGGAACAACAGUCAAAAUAGUUUUUCCUUCCCAUACUCGCAGUCCAGACGUGGCAAUAGCCAAUUUCCAAAGUUCUGGGUGUUCUGGGCUCAGAAUAGGGAGUAUCAUAGGAGGCCUGGUGGGGGGCGGGGGUAAUGCCUUUAUCUUCCCAUUUUAAGGGAAAGAAUGAGCUGAUCCUUGUAUGCAAAGUAGAAUGAUGAUUCUCUUUCUCCUGAUAAGAAAUAAAAUAAGUAGCCUCCAGGCAUUCCCUUCCACAGAGGAGCAAUUGUUUUUUAAAUAGUCCUUUGGUGCCCAGUCUAUUACUAAACCAUAUGAGUCAUUUUUUAAUAUUACUGCAUGUGAGUUAACACAAUCUUCCCAAAUUAAAGUUUUAGAUGGUCCCUCAAAAUGUUUAGGGCAUGGUUUUCCUGCAGGUUUAUACUGAAAGUAUGGGGUACCUCCCAUUACUCCUCCUUUCAUUUGUUGUAAAGGAGAAAGGGAGAGGCCAGAGGCCAAAUGUCCCAUUUUAUCUGUAGCUGAUGUUUCUGAAAGAUAAGCAGCCCAGAACUGAGUUUCUAGAUGGAUGCAACCAGGUGCAUGUCCGAGGCACAGAGAGGGGUAUUUAUAACGCAUGGUAACAUUAAAUGCAGUGCCUUCUUCUCCUGGUUGAGCAGGGCAAGGGUCGUCUAUGGCUCCAGGCAUCCACACACUAUCAUUAGUGUAGAUUUCUGCGGGAGCAUCUAUCCGGGUGAGAGGGCGAAUAAGUGGAGGAAAAGGCACCUAAGCCCAAGAAGAAUAAUUAUGUGUAGCAGGUAAAUCAGUGUGAGAGGAAACUGGUGAGACAGAAAGUAUAAGGAGGAGAAUCAUUAAAUAAAACCUAGUGUAAGCGAGAUGGAGUGCUGAAGGAGAAAGAGAAGAACAGAGGGAUGUUAUUUUCAGGCUAAUAGAAAUGGUGAGAUAUUUAGGUUUGUAAGGAGAAAAAGAAAGGUAAUCAGGAGAAGUGUGAUUAGUUAGAUGGGUCUCCACUGUCAUCAGGGAGGAUUGAUUUACACCCAUUGUGAUUUGGUGUGCCUGUUUCUGAGGAGUCGGCACAGAUCUCACCACAUCUGAAGGCAGUCUCUGACACAGACGUCUCUUCACUGUGGUUUUGACUGUCAGUAUUCACAAGAAGCUUGAGUCUUCUGGUGGGUACCCAGACAGGGGAUUGAUGAUCUCCUGGUGAAACACAAGCAUAUCCUCUUCCCCACGUUAAGUAGAAUAAGAGACAAUAUUUAAAGGUUUGGGGAAAUCCUGUAAGGCAGUAAUCACAGCAAUUAACUCCGCCUUUUGAACAGAAGUAUAAGAGGUAGAAAGAAGUUUGUCUGCAGGACCUAUAUAGCCAGGAUUGCCAUUACCAGAGCCAUCAGUGAAUACUGUAACGGCCUCAGGAAUGGGUUGAUUUUUGGUUAAUCGAGGAACCACCCAAGACGUUAUUUUUAUAAAAUCAAACAAUUUGUUUUUUUGGAUAAUGAUCGUCAAUAACACCAAUAAAAUCAGCCAAGUGAAUUUGCCACAGUACAGAAUGCUGAAAGGCAGCUUGAACUUCGAGCUGAUUUAAAGGAACUACAAUUACACUUGGAUCAAAUCCAGAAAUUUGAAGUAUUCUGCACCGAACCUGUCCAAUUAAUAUGGCUAUUUGGUCUAGAUAAAGUUUUUGACACAGAAUGAGGAAGAAAACACCAUUCCACUAAAUCAUUAUGUUGAACUAUUAGUCCAGUAGGAGAGUGUAAUGAAGCAAAAACCAGAAGCUGAAAAGGCUGAAAUGUCUGUACUCUAGAUAACUGGGCAGUCUGGAUUGUUUCCUCUACAAAUUCCAGAUCCAGUACAUAGGUCGGAAUGCCUAAAGUAGGUCUUAAAUAAUUAAUGUUACCCAAAAGUUUUUGGAAGUCAUUUAAAAUUUUUAAAGAAUCUCUCCUAAUUUGAAUUUUUUGAGGUUGAAUACAUUGUUUAUCGACCACCAUUCCUAAAUAUUGAACAGGAGUGGUCUGUUGAAUUUUAUCCUGAGUAAUGUGUAACCCAGCCUCUGUAACACAGCGGCUCAAAAUUUGGUAACAGUCAAUUAAUUUUUUAUCAGUGGGGGCAGAACUUAAAAUAUCAUCAAAAUAAUGAAGAAUAUAGGCCUCGGGAAAUCGGGCUCAAACUGGUGAAAGCACUUGUCCAACAUAAAGCUGGCAGAUUGUAGGGCUAUUUGGCAUUCCCUGAGGAAGUACUUUCCAUUGAUAAUGAGCUACAGGCUCCUGAUUAUUGAUAGAUGGUACAGUAAAAGCAAAUUUUUCACAAUCCGAUUUAUGUAAAGCGAUAUGAAAAAAAAAAACUCUUUAAGAUCAAUAAGUAUGAGAGGCCAAUCUUUAGGUAUUAAAGCAGGGGCAGGCAUGCCGUGUUGUACGGCCCCCAUAGGUUUAAUUACAGCAUUAAUGGCCCUUAAAUCGGUUACCAUCCGCCAUUUGCCUGAUUUCUUUUUUACUAGAAACACAGGAGAAUUCCAAGGGGAAAGAGAAGGUUCCACAUUUCCAAGUUGUAACUGCUCAGAAACCAAUUGAUUUAAAGCCUCCAGUUUUUCUUUAGAAAGCGGCCACUGCUGAAUCCCAGGGCCACUUGUCUUAUCUCCUUUGUUUAAAAGGAUAUUAGGUAGUAAAAGCAAUUGAGCUUGUUGAACAGUAGUAAAAGAAACAGGAGCUUGGGCUGGGGAGUGUAAUUUAUCCCAAGCUCUCAUACACACUUUUGUUACUUGUUCUGUGGUAAGAGUAUCAAAGUUUAAUUGGGCAUAAGCAUCAGAGAAACUAUCGGAGCCUAUGAGCUGAGCCUGAGUAAUUAGAAUGCCAUUACUCCGAUUUAGCUGAGCCUGUAAACAGGCCUCCUCUGACCACCAGGCUGAGAUGGACUUAGAACAGAUUUUGCCAAAAGAUCACAGUCUGAAGGAAGCAAAACGACCUCAGUAUAAAAAGUGUGCAAUACCAUUUGAACAUAAGGAAAAGUAGGACCAUACUGAGUACAAGCAUCCUUAAAUUGUUUUUAAAAAGGUAAGAUUGAGCGGCGCAUAUCGACGCAGACUGGUUGAGGAACUGAAAUGACAGGAGGGUGAGGGGCUGUAGUGGAUGGGGGAGGGCCUGGAGAAUGACAGGUAAAUUGUAGUUUGGUCCCAGAGCCAUUAUUUAAUGCUGGAGGUUUGAAGAGAGAAGAAUUAGCAUAUUUAUGGUACCGGGCUUUGUGAGUCACAGCCGCAGGAGUUUGAAGUACCAGCUUUUCGUGAGAAGAAGUAAGAAAAGUAGGGGGAAACUUUAAGCCAAAGUUACCAGUUAGAAAUCAAAUUUUCAGAAUCGUUAGGGUGGGGAGGAGUAGCUGAAGGGAGAGUCUGAACGAAGGCCAUGUGGGAGAGGAAGGUUGAGAAAAAGGCAGAGAAACUGAGGAAAAGGCAGAAAACUGUGGCAACUGCAGGGGUUCACGAGAUUGGCAAGCCACGAAGAUGGCACGCACCAAGCACCCCAAACAGUGAUGGGAACAUAAUACCCGGCCGAGACCAGUUUUCGGAAUGCUUUACGGACACAAUCACACAAUUUUAUAUACACCGUUCCUUUUUCAGGAAACCAAGAACAGUAUUUUUCUACUGCCUUGAAUAGAAUGAUCAUAUUUUUCAUGGUUACCGGUUUUAACAGGAGUUUGUUAGAUUACACAUGACCCAUAGUUAACCCAGACCUUACACAGAUUACUCACCACUCGUCGGGCAGUUGAACACGCUUAUCUGUGGACCAAGCCGAUUGACGUUUCACCGCACCUACCAAAGGGAAUCCGGUUUCCUCAUGCACUUAGGAAAAAAGAAAGACCACGUGGGCGCCAGAUAUCGGGGGACCUGCCCCGAUAAUCACAAUGAUGGCAGCAGCCCAUAUGGGGGGCCCGCCCAUGAUGCCAAUGAUGGGCCUUCCUGCUCCUGGGAUGAUGCCAGUGGGACCUGCUCCUGGAAUGAGGCCGCCCAUGGGAGGCCACAUGCCUGUGAUGCCUGGGUGCCCAAUGAUAAGACCUCCUGCCCGUCUCAUGAUGGUGCCCAGUCAGCCCAGAAUGACUCGACCAGACAGAUAAGGAUAGAGGGGAGGCCUCAUUGCAUCAGUGUUGUUUUGUUGUUGUUAUUGUUGUGUUUUUUUGUUUGUAAUGUUUUGUUUUGUUUUUGAGACAGAGUCUUCCUCUGUCGCCCAAGCUGGAGGGCAGUGGCAUGAUCUCAGCUCACUGAAACCUCCACCUCCCGGGUUCAAGCGAUUCCCCUGCCUCAGCCUCCUGAGUAGUGUGGGACUACAGGCGUGUUCACCAUGCCCGGCUAAUUUUUUUUAUUUUAGUAGAAACGAGGUUUCACCAUGUUGGCCAGGAUGGUCUCAAUCUCCUGACCUCGUGACCCGCUCGCCUCAGCCUCUGAAAGUGCUGGGAUUAAAGGUGUGAGCCACUGCGCCUGGACUAUAUGAAUUUUAUAUUUACCUGUUCCCUUCACCAGGAGAUCAUGCUGCUGUGAUGUCGGGUUUUCUUAACAGCGUAAGGAAGACUUGCCCCCUUGCCCUAUCAAAGAGAAUAGUUUUGGAGGGGAGAAGUGGGACCAAAAAAGAUGCAGUUUUCAUUUGUAUUGGGAAAUGUGAAAAUAAAAUUGACAACCCUUUCAGUUAAAAACAAAAAAAGAAAAGGAAAGAAGAUGUGGGGCUGCCAUAUGCAAUACCGUGGAUUUCAUGGAUCUUCUACUCUGGAGGCAAAUAUUAUCUUUACUGAAGCCAGACCAACCUAACACAAAGACCUUUUGUUUUUUUAAUGUGACUGUGUUUUAUUUUAGAAUGUGUAAUUCACUUUAGAAGGGUAAAGUACCUGUCUGGGGAAGACUAUUUAAUUUCCUGCAUUUAUUUAGAAUGUUGGCUGAUGUUGUUAUGAAGGGAAACAGCUCUAACAACUGAGUGCCCCCCACAUAGCCACAGCUCAUGAGUUCACGGGGCAAAGGAAUUGAACAGCAGCCUCCUAAUAGCCAGCCUUCUCUGUGAUGUGGAAAUAAUUAUCAGCAUGUAAAAGACUAUAUAUAUAUUCAACAAUUCUGAUCCCCUGAAAAAUUCAAAUCUACAACUGAUUUGCUUCCUGGGCUCCUGAAAACAACUUUGUCAAAAUUGUUCAGAAAUAUAAUCAGCCAAUCGUUGCCCCUUGGGGACGCAGGAUAAAGCAAGUCAGCUAUGACCAAUGUGGAGUCGGCCAUGCACAAUUACAUGCAGACCUGCAUGAUAUCGAGUUCCUGCUAUGGUCCCUCCCCAGUCAGGCCCCCAUUGCCUGGGCUGCAACCAGAAGCAUUCAGGCACAAGUGCAUUCAACAAAUACUUAUUUAAUUGUAUUGGUGGUUAGAGGGUUGCAAUUGAUUAAGGUACAUUAAUGGAUCCAUGUCCUCCCUGUAUCCAAGACUCUGCCAUUUGUCUCUGCAGUUCCUCCCACUGAAGAAUCGGAGUAUAUUUCUCCAGUCCCUAAUGUUGGGUUUUGUAAUGUGUCUAGCUUUGGCCACUGGAAUAUUAAUCUGUAUGACCAACAACUUGGAAAGUGUGCAUUCAUUUGUGCUCACUCACUCCUGCUAUCACCAUGACAACAAGCCCAGGCCAGACUGCUGCUUCCAGCAGAAGAUAAGAGACACCAAGAGCAAAGUCGAGCUUCCCAGACAUGCUCAUGCUAGAUUGACCAAUCCUCAGCUGACCCAUAGAUCCAUGAAAAUAAACGAUUGUUGUAUUAAGCCACUGAGAUUUGGAGUGACUUGUUAUGCAGCAUUUUGUGACAACAACUAACUGACACAAGGGUCACUGUCCUUUAUCUCUGUAGAUUUUAACCAAUUUUAAUAGCUAGAUGGAGAUCUUCUAGUUGCCUUUAUUUAUAAUGAAUAUGACUGUAGAGCUAGUUUGGCCUGACACUACCAGUAACCUACCCAGAAAUUCAGAAAUACUUUCUUCUCCAACCUGCCCCAACCAACCUUUUGUUUGUUUGUUUGUUUUUGGGUUCUCCCUCUUUGCCUAGGCAAGAGUACAAAUGGUACAGUCAGAGCUCACUGUAGCCUCAAAAUCCUGGGCUCAAGUGAUCUUCCCCUUCAGCCUCCUAUGUAGCUAAGACUACAGACAUGUGCCACCAUGCCUGGCUAAUUUUUUUAUUCUUUGCAGAGAGAGGGUCUCACUAUAUUGCCCAAGUUGGUUUCAAACUCCUGGCCUCAAGCAGUCCUCCUGCCUCACCCUUCCAAAGUGCUAGAAUUAUAGGCAUGAGCCACCACACCCAGCCUCUUCUUCUUUUUAAAUAGAAACUUUAUUUUAUUCUGACAGUGGGUUUCUUUCUUUCUUUUUUAUUUUUAAGAAAAAGUUGGCCCAGCCCCAGGGAAUAAAUUUUGACUGCUCUAAACAACUAUAGACCAAGGGCCAAAUCUGGCCCUCUGACUGUAUAAAUUAACUUUUACUGGAAUAAAACCAGGUCCGUUGAUUUAUCCAUUGUCUACAUACGCUUUUAGGCUACGAUGGCACCACUGCGUCACUACAACAGAGGUUAUUUAGACCAAAAGCCUAAAAUAUUACCGUUUGCCUCUUUAUGGAGAAAGUUUGCCAUUCCCUAUCUAAGGUUUAGAUUCUGAGCUUAUCAUUUUAUCCUACCCGCCCUCACCAGUGACUGGCUCAAAACAAGUCUGUAAUUCCAUUCUGACUGUUCUACUGAGGGAAUUCCCCCUUCUUCUCAUGCAGAGCUGAUGAGGGUAAGUUGUAUUAAUAGGACAUACGCUCAGGUUUUCUGAAAAAUACUUUUAUCUAGAAAUGCAUAGGAAUAUGCUGGUGCCUGAAUGUACCAUCCGGGGGCCUGGAGAUUGACUCCCCUGCCUCCACAGCUGGUGCUCACACUUACUACUGAGAGGCCUGAGGAAACACCUGCCUACCCACCACCAGAACCUGCAUAGGUCACCUGGAGAACUAGAGAUCAGCCUGCCACACACACCACCCAGGAGCCCAGUGGUGCACCUGCCCACCUGGCCCAGUGCUGCCACUGCCAGCAACAAAAGAAGCCACCUGCAGGCCCAGGGAUUGGCUCACACAGACAGGCUAUCAUCAGUGCCCACAAACGCUGCCCAUGGUCCCUAGUAUUGACACACCUGGUCCACCGCCACUACCACUGAUGCUGAAGGACAAGACUUCCUGGCAUCCCCAUCCUCAGCAAAGCCUCACCACAGCCUCCAAUAACAACUGCCGUCUGGCCAAGUGUGGUGGCUCACGCCUGUAAUACCAGCACUUUGAGAGGCCGAGGCGGGUAGAUCACGAGGUCAGGAGUUCGAGAGCAGCUUGGCCAACAUGGUGAAACCCCGUCUCUACUAAAAAUACAAAAAUUAGCUGGUCAUGGUUGCACGUGCCUAUAGUCCAGGCUACUCAGGAGGCUGAGGCAGGAGAAUUGCUUGAACAUGGGAGGCAGAGGUUGCGGUGAGCUGAGAUUGUGCCACUGCACUCCAGCCUGGUGAGAGAGUUAGACUCCAUCUCAACAACCACAAAAAAAAAAAAACAAAAAAAAAACAAAAAAACACUGCAGUCUAAGCCACUGAAUGACUCACAGGCACCACUCAUGCCAAUUACAGCUGAAGGAAUCAUAUGCAGACUAUACCACUGUACCCACCCAGAAUCAAAGCCAAAGUGUGAUAUCCAAUGAACACUGUAGAUACAGCUAUAAGAAAAGGUCUUUCCCAUAUAAAAGCCAAUCCAUAAAAUUGGAAGAAAUGACUGUUAUGUCAGAGGCACAGAUAGUCACAUAAGGAUGCAAGAAAUAUGAAAAAGGAAACAUAACAUCUCCAAAGAAGCACAAUAAUUCUCCAGCAACAGAUCCAAUGAAAAGAAAAUCUAUGAAAUGCCUGAAAAAAUUUCAGAAUAAUGUUAUUAAAGAAACUCAGGGAGAUACAAGAGAACACAGAUAAUGAAUACAAAAAAACAAAAAACAAAAAACAAAAAAAGAAAACAGGAAAACAAUUCAUGAUCUGAAUCACAAAUUCAACAGAGAUAGACAGCAUAACAAAGAGCCAAACACAAAUCCUGGAAGACAAUAAAUCAUUGAAAUAAAUACAAAAGAUAAUUGACAGCUUUAACAAUAGACUAGAUCAAGCAAAACAAAGAAUUUCUGAACCUGAAGACUGGUCUUUUAAAAUAAUCCAGUCAGACAAAAAGAAAGAAAAAAGAAUGAAGCAAGGCUACAUGACAUAUGGGAAACAUAUGUGACCAAAAACUGAAAUUCUGGGAGUUCUGGAUGGAGAUGCGAUUGGUAAAGGCAUCGAAAACCUAUUUAAUGAAAUAGUAACUGAAAACUUCCUGAAUGCUUCCAAAUGCAGGAAGCUCAAAGAUUACCAAGUAAAUACAACUCAAAAAGGUCUUCUCCAAGGCACAUUAUGGUAAAAUUGUCAAAAGACAAAGAGAAAAUGCUAAAAACAGGAAGAGAAAGGUAUCAAGUCACUUAUAAGAGAAUCUCCAUCAGGCUAACAGGGAAUUUCUCAGCAGAAACCUUACAGGCUAGGAGAAAAGGGGAUGUAUAUUACAAGUAAAAAAUAAAAAUAAAAAAAGUAAGCCAAAAAUACUAUACCCAGCAAAGCUAUCCUUCACAAAUGAAGGAGACUGGCAUAGUGGCUCACAUCUGCAAUUCCAGAGACUCAGAAGGCUGAGGCAGUAGGACCAUUUGAUCCCAGGAGUUCAAGGCUGCAGUGAGCUAUGAUCAUGUCACUGUACUCCAGCCUGGGUGACAGAGUGAGACUCCAUUGCUAAAAAAAAAAUAGUAAUAAUAAAAGAGAAAAAAGUAUUUCCCAGAUAAGCAAAAGACUGUUUGUUUGUGUCUUGUUUGUUGCGGUCCUACAAGAAAUGUUUAAGGGAGUCCUACACUGGGAAGUGAAAGAACAAUAUCUACCAUCAUGAAAAUACAUGAAAGUAUAAAACUCACUGGUAGUUCAGACACACAAAGAACAAAGGAUUCAAACAUCACCACUAAAGAAAACCACCAAACUGCAACCAUAAAUAAUGAGAGAAAAAAGGAACAAAGGUGUAUUAGUCUGUUUUCACACUGCUGAUAAAGACAUACCUGACUGAGACUGGGCAAUUUACAAAAGAAAGAGGUUUAAUGGACUUACACUUCCACAUAACUGAGGAAGCCUAAGAAUCACGUUGGAAGGCAAGAAGCAAGUCAUGUCUCACAUGGAUGGCAGCAAUCAAAGAUAGAGCUUCUGCAGAGAAACUACCCUUUUCAAAACCAUCAGACCUUGUGAGACGUAUUCACUAUCAUGAGAACAGCAUGGGAAAGACCUGACCCCAUGACUCAAUUACUUCCCACCAGGUCCCUCCCACAACAUGUGGGAAUUCAAGAUGAGACUUGGGUGGGGACACAACCAAACCAUAUCAUUCUGCCCCUGGCCCUUCCCAAAUCUCAUAUCCUCACAUUUCAAAACCAAUCAUGCCUUCCCAACAGUCCCCCAAAGUCUUAACUAAGUUCAGCAUUAAUUCAAAAGUCCACAGUCCAAAGUCUCAUUUGAGACAAGGCAAAUCCCUUCUGCCUAUGAGCAUGUAAAAUCAAAAACAAGUUAGUUACUUCCUAGAUACAAUGGGGGUAUAGGCACUGGGUAAAUACAGUCAUUCCAAAUGGCAGAAAAUUGCCAAAACAAAGGGGCUACAGGACCCAUGCAAGCCCAAAAUCCAGUGGGGCAGUGAAAUCUCAAAGCUCCAAAAUGAUCUCCUUUGACUCCAUGUCUCACAUGCAGGUCAUGCUGAUGUAAGAGGUGGGCUCCCAUGGCCUUGGGAGAAAAAAGGCCACAGCUCCACUCCUGUGGCUUUGUAUGGUUUAGACCCCCUACUGGCUCCUUUCACGGGUUGGCAUUGAGUGUCUGCAGCUUUUCCAGGCACACAGUGCAAGCUGUCACUGAAUCCAGCAUUCUGGGGUCUGGAGGAUGGUGGCCCUCUUCUCAAAGCUCCACUAGGUGGCGCUGCAGUAGGGACUCUAUGUGGGGGCUCCGACCCCACAUUUCCCUUCUGCACUGCCCUAGUGGAGUUUCUCCAUGAGUGCCCUGCCCCUGCAGCAAACUCCUGCCUGGAUAUCUAGGCAUUUCCAUACAACUUCUGAAAUCUAGGCAGCAGUUCCCAAACCUCAAUUUUUGACUUCUGUGCACCCACAGGCUCAACACUAUGUGGAAGCUGCUAAGGCUUGGGGCUUGCACCCUCUGAAGCCACAGCCCACGUUCUGCCUUGGCGCCUUUUAGCUGCAGCUGGAGUGGCUAGGACUCAGGCACCCUAGGCUGCUCACAACAGGGGUCCCUGGGUCCAGCCCACAAAACCAUCUUUUCUUCCUAGGCCUCUGGACCUUUGAUGGGAGGGGCUGCCAUGAAGACCUGUGACAUGCCCUGGAGACAUUUUCCCCAUUGUCUUGGGGAUUCACAUUUGACUCCUCGUUACUUAAACAAACUUCUGCAGCCAGAUCGAAUUUUUCUUGAAAAAAUGGGAUUUUCUUUUCUAUUGCAUUGUCAGGCUGCAGAUUUUCCAAACUUUCAUGCUCUGCUUCCCUUAUAAAACUGAAGGCCUUUAACAGCACCCAAGUCAUCUCUUGAAUGCUUUGCUGCUUAGAAAUUUCUUCUAUCAGAUACCCUAAAUCUCAAGUUCAAAUACCCUAUCAGAUACCCUAAAUCGUCUCUCUCAAGUUCAAAAUUCCACAGAUCUCUACAGCAGGGGCAAAAAGCCACCAGUCUCUUUGCUAAAACAUAACAGGAGUCACCAUUGUGCCAGUUCCUAACAAGUUCCUCAUUUCCAUCUGAGACAACCUAAGCCUAGACUUUAUUGUCCAUAUAACAAUCAGCAUUUUGGGCAAGUCUCUAGAAAAUCUCUUCCAAAUUUUCCCACAUUUUCCUGUCUCCUUCUGAGCCCUCCAAACUGUUCCAACCUCUGCCUGUUUCCCAGUUCCAAAGUCACUUCCACAUAUUCAGGUAUCUUUUAGCAACACCCCACUUCUGGUACUAAUUUACUGUAUUAGUCCAUUUUCACACAGCUGAUAAAGACACAUUCAAGACUGGGAAAUUUACAAAAGAAAGAGGCUUAAUGGGCUUACAGUUGUACAUUGCUGGGGAGGCUUCAAAAUCAUUGCGGAAGUCAAGGAGAGGCAAGUCAUAUCUUACAGGGAUGGCAGCAGGCAAAGAGAGAGCUUGAGCAGGGAAACUCCUCCUUUUAAAACCAUCAGAUCUCAUGAGACUUAUUCACUAUUAAAAGAAUAGCAUGGGAAAUACCUGCCUCCAUGAUUCAACUACUUCCCACUGGGUCCCUCCCACAACACAUGGGAAUUCAAGAUGAGAUCUGAGUGGGGACACAGCCAAACCAUAUCAAAAGGAUAUACAAAAUAACCAGAAAACAAUGAACAAAAUGACAGGAAUAAGUCCUCACCUAUUAAUAAUAACUUCGAAUAUGGGUUAAAUUACCUACCUAAAAGAUAGAGACAGGCUUAAUGGAUAAAAAAUGACCCAACAACAUCUACAAGAAACUCACUUCACUUGUAAAGACACACACAGACUGAAAGUGAAGGGAUGGAAAAAGAUACACCACACAAACAGAAAUCAAAAAUAAUCAGGAGUAGCUAAACUUACACCAGAUAAAACAGACUUUAAGUCAAAAACUGUAAAAAGGACAAAGAAGGUCAUUAUAUGGUAAUAAAGGGAUCAAUUCAGCAACAAUGUAUAACAAUUCCAAAUAUGCAUGCAACCAACACAAGCGCAUCCAGAGACAUAUAGCAAAUAUUAUUAAAUCUACAUGGAGAGAUAGAGUCCAAUACAAUGAUAGUUGAGAACUUCAGUAUCCUACUCUCAGCAUUGGACAGUUCAUCUAGACAUAAAAUCAACAAAGAAACAUUAGAUUUCAGCUGCACUUUAGACCAAAUGGACCUAACAGUUAUUUUCAGAAUAUUUCAUCCAGCAGCAGCAGAAUAUACAAUCAUCUCAUCAACACAUGGAACAUUCUCCAGGAUAGAACAUAGGUUAGGACACAGAACAAGGCUCAAUAAAAUUUUAAAAACUAAAAUCAUAUCAAGUGUCUUCUCAGACCACAAUGGAAUAAUACUUGAAAACAAUAAGAAGAAGAAAUUUGGAAACUGUACAAAUACAUGGACAUUAAACAUGCUAUUGAAUAAUCAUUGGGUCAAUGAAGAAAUUAAGAUGGACAUCAAAAAUUUUUUUUAAACAGAAAAUGGAAAUACAUCAUGCAAAACCUAUGGGAUACAGCAAAAGCAAUACUAAGAGGAAAGUUUAUAGCAAUAAAUGCCUACACGAAAAAAGUAGAAAGAUCUCAAAUAAACAACCUAAUGAUGCACCUCAAGGAACUCAAAAAGCAAGAACAAAUCAAACACACAAUUAGUAGAAAGAAAAAAAAAUAAAUAACAUAGCAGAACCAAAUGCAACAGAGACAAAAAAAAAAUGCAAAGAAUCAACAAGAUAAAAGUUGGUUUUUUGAAAAGUUAAACAAAAUUGAUAAACCACUAGUGAGGCUAACCAAAAAAAAAAAAAAAAAAAAAAAAAAAAAAAAAAAAAAAAAAAAAAAAAGAAAGUAGACCCAAAUAAAUACAAUCAGAAAUGAAAAAGGAGACAUUGUAACUGUUACCAAAGAAAUAAAAAGAA
Pan troglodytes (chimpanzee) is the source of this 27158-nucleotide long non-coding RNA. RefSeq lists it as uncharacterized. The record is from RefSeq and is a predicted model, not a curated record. NCBI's taxonomy places the organism in Eukaryota, Metazoa, Chordata, Mammalia, Primates, Hominidae. The transcript has 2 exons.